AGAGUUUGAUCCUGGCUCAGGACGAACGCUGGCGGCGUGCUUAACACAUGCAAGUCGAACGGUAAGGCCCUUCGGGGUACAGGAGUGGCGAACGGGUGAGUAACACGUGGGUAAUCUGCCCUGCACAUCGGGAUAAGCCUGGGAAACUGGGUCUAAUACCGAAUAGGACCACAGGACACAUGUCCUGUGGUGGAAAGCUUUUGCGGUGUGGGAUGGGCCCGCGGCCUAUCAGCUUGUUGGUGGGGUGAUGGCCUACCAAGGCGACGACGGGUAGCCGGCCUGAGAGGGUGACCGGCCACACUGGGACUGAGAUACGGCCCAGACUCCUACGGGAGGCAGCAGUGGGGAAUAUUGCACAAUGGGCGCAAGCCUGAUGCAGCGACGCCGCGUGAGGGAUGACGGCCUUCGGGUUGUAAACCUCUUUCAGCACAGACGAAGCGCAAGUGACGGUAUGUGCAGAAGAAGGACCGGCCAACUACGUGCCAGCAGCCGCGGUAAUACGUAGGGUCCGAGCGUUGUCCGGAAUUACUGGGCGUAAAGAGCUCGUAGGUGGUUUGUCGCGUUGUUCGUGAAAACUCACAGCUUAACUGUGGGCGUGCGGGCGAUACGGGCAGACUUGAGUACUGCAGGGGAGACUGGAAUUCCUGGUGUAGCGGUGGAAUGCGCAGAUAUCAGGAGGAACACCGGUGGCGAAGGCGGGUCUCUGGGCAGUAACUGACGCUGAGGAGCGAAAGCGUGGGGAGCGAACAGGAUUAGAUACCCUGGUAGUCC
Molecule: ribosomal RNA, 771 nt
Filed under: uncultured bacterium
Lineage: Bacteria
Description: bacterial SSU rRNA
Rfam family: Bacterial small subunit ribosomal RNA
Source: RNAcentral